RNAcentral lists this long non-coding RNA (6259 nucleotides) under Brassica napus (rape). Its description in RNAcentral is "long non-coding RNA (BNAP_LNC009164)". The record is from RNAcentral. Lineage: Eukaryota; Viridiplantae; Streptophyta; Magnoliopsida; Brassicales; Brassicaceae.
UGAAUCAAUAAAAAGAGUGUUUUGUCUUUAGCGUUUGAUUCUCGAAACCUUGAUACACAAAUCGUAUCAUGAUCCCUAGAGUUCUGGUCAAACAUCUCAUUUAGAAAAUAAGAUUAAACCUAACGUAGUAUACAAGGAAUAAAAGUUAAUCCAUGCAUUGUCAGUAAGUUUGUAAAUCUAGGCUAUUAUAUCAUCGGUUUUUAAUCCGUUUUGGUGAUUUUUAGGUUCAAAGAUUUUUCAUUCCCACUAUGAAUUUGAAUUUGUAUCCAAAAGCUUUUUUUUUAUCUCUAAGAAAUUUUAAGAUUUAGUAUUUUCUAGAGAUUUGAGUCCAAGCGACAUGUUUGUGUGAGAUUUGACUUUUUCUAAGAAGCUGCAAAAACUAUGUUAGAUGUUAGUCGGUUCUGAAUUAUAUUUGUCAAAAUUUCACAAUCAUUAACAGAUCUCAUGAAAAAUACAGUUUAAGAUGAGUGCUUCUUGACAAAAAAAAACGGCAAGAAUGGUGAGACAUUGCCUUGUUACAUUGUUACAUGCUUGUGUGAUAUUUGACUUUUCUUUGCUGGUAAUAGAAGUAUUAAUUAACCAUGCAUAUACAUGUUGUAUCCAGUUAAAAUCUACGUUACUCUAUAAUUUAAUUAACAUAUAGGCUUUAAUGAUAAUAGACCCAGAUGCGGACGGACCUGUGAAUUAGGGGGCCUUAUUCAAAAAUAAAAAUUUAAUAACUAUAGUUUAAACAACAUCUUAAAAUAAUUAUGAACAAAACUAUAGAUAGAUUCUAAGGAGAAAAAGCUGAAAGACAUUGUCGCAAGUUUCGUCUUUCAAUUUUAAAGAGUGUGACCGAUGGUUUGAUUAGUGUAGACCUGGGGAUUUUACCCGAACCGGAACCAAUCCGAAAAUACAAAUUCGAGUCGGAGUCUGGAUCUAGGCUAAAAUACUUAUUGGGUAUAAUUAUUUUGGAUCCGCGGGUUUCAGUUCGUGUCCGAAUCCUGCUAGAGACCCGGUCGGAUACCCAAAAUACCCGAUACUUCUAGUAUAUAUUGAGUAUUUUUGGGUGUUUGGAUAUAUUUUUGGUAUCAUGGAUAUUACUUUUAAGUUUUAGAUUCAGGUUUUUGGUAUAGUUUAAGGUUUCAGGUAAAUUUUAGAUUUUAAGAAAUAUAAUUUGAGUAUUUGAAUAAUUUUGGGUAUUUUUUAGAUCUUCGGAUCAGAUUUCAGGUACAAAUUCGGGGGUUUUUGAGUUUUUGGGUAUUUUUUCGGGUUUUCGGUAUUUUUUGAGUUUUCAGGUGUUUUUCAGAUAUUCAGAUCUAAUUCGGGUACUUUGAAUCUUAAAUACUCGAACCCACACGAACCUGAAAUAUACCAAAAAAUUAUGAGUAUUUUGCGAGUAUAUAAAUUAUAAAACCAAACUUAUCCGGAUUAGUGUAACAAAAGUUAGAGUAAAAUAUUUUACUCUCAGUUUCACUCAAUUACAUCCAAUACUCUAGAAAAGGAAUCUUUUAUUUGUUGUUUCCACUUUUUUUUUUCUACCCUACAAAAGCAAGAGUAAACCGGCGGAAACAAAAAGCAACAUAUAUCUUUCCACUUUAUUUUUACUUUAAUUUACUCCAAUUUAGGCUGUCCACGGACCAGUCAUACCCAAAAAGAGAUGCCUUUAUUUUACUUUUUGUUUUUUUUUUUAUAAUAUUUACGGAGCAUCAUUUAAAUGAACUACCUGAGAUCCACAUAAUAUUCUAUAUGUAUGCUGAGUAUUAAGUUAAAAAAGAAAUGAAAUACAAAUGGUAGAAUAACUUACUCACCAGUGUCACUUGUGAGCGGUAGACAAUGACCUACAUAAUGUUUUCAUAAAUAUCACGUACGUAUAAAAAAUGGAAGUGGGGGACAAUAGAGCGGAGCCCCAUACCAAUGUUUCAUAUAACUCGGCUCUGAAUAGAGCUUUAAUGAUUUUCUAUGGAUUGUGUCAACAAAAUUUGCAGCACGAUCUCAUAUUAUAUAUUAUAUUAGUCAACUAACUACACUCUUAGCUGCAUCAAAAUUUUAUAUAACUCUAGAUUUUGACAUUGAUUUUUUUAAGUUAAAAUUAGAUUUUGGUUCCAUAGGCCUUGAAAAACUGACCCAAGACCACAACAAGUGACGUCUGUACUGUAAAGAUGUCAUAUCUACUCGACCAGAGAGUUUCAGUCUGUUAUAAAUAGAGAGAACUACAUUUGAAGCUUCUACAACCAUUCAACUCUUUUACAAGCUUCAGAAUCUUUCACUUCUCUUGUAAAAUUUGCUCGAAAACAUCUCAUUUUCGUUUCGAUUAAUGCCAAAAAUGAGUAGUGAUUCUCAUAAACUCCAUGUUAUGUUCUUCCCUUUCAUGGGAUAUGGCCACAUGAUCCCAACUCUAGACAUGGCUAAGCUUUUCUCCAGCAGAGGAGCCAAAUCCACAAUCAUCACCACACCUCUCAACGCCAAGAUCCUCCAAAAACCCAUCAACACAUUCAAGAGCCUGAACCCAAGCCUCAAAAUCGAGAUCCUGAUCAUCGAUUUCCCUUGCGUGCAGCUGGGGUUACCAGAAGGAUGUGAAAACCCUGAUUUUUUCACCUCAAACAACAACAGCGACGAAAGACAAACCAUGAUGUUAAAAUUCUUUGCCUCCAUGAGGUUUUUCAAAGACCAGCUUGAGAAGAUCCUCGAGACAACGAGACCAAGCUGUCUUAUCGCUGACAUGUUCUUCCCAUGGGCCACAGAAGCUGCUGAGAAGUUCAAUGUGCCAAGACUUGUGUUCCACGGCACUGGCUAUUUCUCAUUAUGCUCUGAACAUUGCAUCAGAAGAAUGCAUAAACCAAAAAAGAGCUGUGAGCCAUUUAAGGUCCCUGACCUCCCUGGGGACAUUACGAUGACUCAAGGACAGAUGAGAGACCUUGACGAAGAAACCGAGAUGGGGAAGUUUCUGAUCGAGGUUAUAGAAUCUGAAGUGAAGAGCUCUGGUGUUGUUGUGAAUAGCUUCUACGAGCUUGAACCUGAAUACGCAGAUUUUUACAAGAGUUCUGUAGCGACGAGAGCUUGGCAUAUUGGUCCGCUCUCGGUUCACAACAGAGGAUUUGAGGAGAAGGCUAAGAGAGGAAAGAAAGCGAGCAUUGAUGAGGUUGAAUGUCUCAAAUGGCUUAACUCCAAGAAACAAGAUUCGGUUAUUUACGUUUCAUUUGGGAGCGUUGCUUACAUCAAGAACGAGCAAUUGAUAGAGAUCGCUGCAGGGUUAGAAGCUUGUGGCGCAAGUUUCAUUUGGGUUGUGAGAAAACGUGGUGAAAGCAAAGGUACUGAUAGACAAAACACAUGCAUUGAUUGUCUGUUCACAAUAGUUUAUACCAUCGGUUCUAACUGAAACAAUUUUUCUUAAACUCCUAUUUAUACGAUUCAAAUCGGUUUAGAUCAUUUUAAAUCGGGUUAAACCAUUCAAAAUUGGUUAAAAUCGAUUUAAAUUAGUCUAAAUCCGUUAAAUUAUUGUUUGUUCACAAUAGGUUAUACUAAAGUACUAGAGUCGUGUUUGAAAAAAUAACAGCCUAUGUUCGGUUUCUAUGUCUUUAUAUGAAAACAGGCGAAGAAGAAUGGUUACCAGAAGGGUUUGAAGAGAGGGUGAAAGAGAGAGGAAUGAUAAUAAGAGGAUGGGCUCCACAGGUGAUGAUACUUGACCACCAAGCAACCGGUGUUUUCGUGACUCAUUGCGGCUGGAACUCGGUUCUUGAAGGAGUGGCUGCAGGGCUUCCGAUGGUGACGUGGCCGGUUGGAGCGGAGCAAUUCUAUAACGAGAUAUUGGUAACGCAAGUGCUGAAGACGGGAGUUAGCGUGGGAACCAAGAAACAUGCGAGUAUGGGAGAUUUUGUUAGCAGAGAGAGUGUGGAGAAAGCGGUGGGGGAGGUGUUGGUUGGGGAAGAGGCCGAGGAGAGGCGAAGACGGGCAAUGAAGCUGGCUGAGAUGGCUAAAUCCGCCGUGGAAGGAGGGUCUUCUUAUAACGACCUAAGCAACUUCAUAGAAGAGUUCAGCUCAUGAUGAUAUGAUCCGGUUAACUCCUGCUUUUGAGUUUGAAACUACUUAAAUGUAGCAGAUCAUUUUUGAGUUGGUUUGAUAAUAUCAAUUUUCGUUUGAAUUUGAAUUUUUUUUAUUUUUUAUGAAGAUGCAAAAUCAUAUGAGAGUAGUUCAAAUUCUGUUUGGUCGUCGUGUUUGGUGGUUAUAAGAAUAUUUACUUUUAUCAAAUGGAAUAAACAGAUUUGCUACUAGCUAUGGCAGAUUUAAGGGUUCUGCUAUGUUGAGUUCUCGGUUUCCCGCUUGAUCUGCAGUGCAGCCCUAACAACGUUUCCCCUUGUCAGGAUCCCAAUCUUUGUUGCGACCAAACCAAAACAAUAAAAAUGACCAAAAUCAGAUCAAAAUCAAACUGAAAAAUAAUAAUAAGAAGAGAAGAUUGUGUAUUUUUAGAUUCUCUCACCAGUUUUCCAUCUGAAUCCACGACUGGUAAUCUUCGGAACUUUGUUUCAAGAAGCAACCUGGAGACAACAGAUGGUUACAAAUCUUUGUAAGAAAUGUAGCUUUCAGACCGAACUCAUAUUCUGCGAGGAGGAUAACCUGGCAGCAUCUUCUAGAUUGGUGGAACCACGGACAACCAGAGGAGAAGGAGUCAUAUUUGUGCGCUAAUUAUUGCAUGAAAGUGCAUAAACCACAGAACAAAGUAGCUUCGAGUAGUGAGCCUUUUGUAAUCCCUGAUCUCCCCGGUGACAUAGAGAUAACUCGAGAACAGAUCAUAGACAACGAAUCCGAGAUGGGAAUGUUUCUUCUUGAUGUAAGAGAGUCAGAAACGAAGAGCUCAGGUGUUAUUGUGAACAGCUUCUACGAGCUUGAACCUGAAUACGCUGAUUUUUUCAAGAGAUUUGUAGCGAAGAGAACGUGGCAAAUCGGCCCGCUCUCCGUUACAAACAGAGGAUUUGAGGAGAAGGCUGAGAGAGGAAAGAAAGCGAGCGUUGAUGAAUCUGAAUGCCUUAAAUGGCUUGACUCCAAGGAAAAAGAUUCAGUCAUUUACAUUUCAUUUGGGAGCGUUGCUUGCUUCAAGAACAAGCAACUGGUAGAGAUCGCCGCAGGGUUAGAAGCUUGCGGCGCAAGUUUCAUCUGGGUUGUGAGGAAAAGCACAAGUGACGACGACAAAGAAGAAUGGUUACCAGAAGGGUUUGAAGAGAGGGUCAAAGGGAGAGGGAUGAUAAUAAGAGGAUGGGCUCCGCAGGUGCUGAUACUUGAGCACCAAGUGACCGGUGGGUUCUUGACUCAUUGCGGCUGGAACUCGCUUCUUGAAGGAGUGGCUGCAGGGCUACCGAUGGUCACAUGGCCUAUUGGAGCUGAGCAGUUCUAUAACGAGAAACUGGUUACACAAGUACUGAGAACGGGAGUGAGCGUUGGAGCCACAAAGCAUGUGAAGAAUAUGGGAGAUGAGAUUAUUAGCAGAGAGAAAGUAGAGAAGGCUGUGAGAGAGGUUUUGGCUUGGGAAGAGGGGGAGGAGAGGAGGAUACGGAUAAAGAAACUGGCGGAGAUGGCUAAAGCCGCUGUGGCAGAAGGAGGGUCUUCUUUUAACGAUCUAAACAACUUCAUACAUGAGUUCAGUUCGUGAUCUGAUACGCACGCUGCUGCUCGUCGACCAGUGAUCAUUCAGUACCAGAGGAGAGGUAGAAAGAAGUGUUGAACCGGGAGGAGCCGUGGUACGAGAUACGUUGGUUUGAUUGGUCAUCUUUAUGCUAGAAGCUAUAGUACGUGUGGAAUAAAGCGAAGAGAGGAGGAAGAUCACUCACACGUGUGAGUAACGGUAGCACAUGAGCUGUCUUGUGUGACGUGUAUGUCCUUUCGUAGCUAUAAGUAGUAGGAGAGUAAGGGGUGUGUGUUAGGCAUGAUUUGGUAGUAACAAGAUAGAGAGAGAAAACAACGUCUUGUAUUACUUUCCUUGAAUCAAUAAAAAGAGUGUUUUGUCUUUAGCGUUUGAUUCUCGAAACCUUGAUACACAAAUCGUAUCAUGAUCCCUAGAGUUCUGGUCAAACAUCUCAUUUAGAAAAUAAGAUUAAACCUAACGUAGUAUACAAGGAAUAAAAGUUAAUCCAUGCAUUGUCAGUAAGUUUGUAAAUCUAGGCUAUUAUAUCAUCGGUUUUUAAUCCGUUUUGGUGAUUUUUAGGUUCAAAGAUUUUUCAUUCCCACUAUGAAUUUGAAUUUGUAUCCAAAAGCUUUUUUUUUAUCUCUAAGAAAUUUUAAGAUUUAG